AGAAAUAGGGAGCCCAGAUUAUAAUAUGCGUAACAAUUGCUUUUAUGUUCUUGAUUCUAGUAAGGGAACAGCUGAAGGAGCUCACCAAGCAGUAUGAGAAAUCUGAAAAUGACCUUAAGGCUCUGCAAAGUGUUGGGCAGAUUGUUGGUGAGGUCCUUAAACAGUUAACGGAAGAGAAAUUCAUCGUCAAAGCAACCAAUGGACCAAGAUACGUCGUCGGCUGCCGUCGUCAGGUGAGCGCCUGUCUUCGAAUGGUUGUGUCUUGGUCCCGAGUCAGAGAAAGCCGAC
This is a non-coding RNA of Pogona vitticeps (central bearded dragon), 288 nucleotides long. The record is from RefSeq and is a predicted model, not a curated record. Lineage: Eukaryota; Metazoa; Chordata; Lepidosauria; Squamata; Agamidae.